GUAAUAUUCCGGAGAAGGAGCCUGAGAGAUUGCUACUAAGUCUAAGGAUUGCAGCAGGGGCGAAACUUGACCUAUGAUAUGAUAUUGAGGCAGUUAUGAGUAGUAUUUUUAAUUAUUGUAGUAUUGUAAGUAUAUACUACAAGAUAAAUCGGAGGGCAAAUCGAGUGCC
RNAcentral lists this ribosomal RNA (169 nucleotides) under Nosema granulosis. Its description in RNAcentral is "partial small subunit ribosomal RNA". It matches the Rfam family "Microsporidia small subunit ribosomal RNA", at positions 234 to 394 of the family's 1311-position model. Lineage: Eukaryota; Fungi; Microsporidia; Nosematidae. The record is from RNAcentral.